CCUGGUAAAAAUAGUGUAAUGGUACCACCUGAAUCCAUACCGAACUCAGAAGUGAAAUAUUAUAACGCCGAUGGUAGUACGAGGCUUCCUCGUGCAAGAGUAGGAAAUUGCCAGGG
This 116-nucleotide ribosomal RNA is filed under the name Buchnera aphidicola (Sarucallis kahawaluokalani). The record is from RNAcentral. Lineage: Bacteria; Pseudomonadati; Pseudomonadota; Gammaproteobacteria; Enterobacterales; Erwiniaceae.